RNAcentral lists this long non-coding RNA (757 nucleotides) under Olea europaea (common olive). RNAcentral's name for it is "long non-coding RNA (OEUR_LNC006410)". The record is from RNAcentral. Lineage: Eukaryota; Viridiplantae; Streptophyta; Magnoliopsida; Lamiales; Oleaceae.
UCAACUCGGCCAACUUUUACACUAACCCAUAUCCCCAAACUACCCCCGCCUUGCUCCUAUAAGUCUUUCACCCUUACAUUCAAAUCCAAACUUCCUCUUGUAACCAACCCCCAAUCCAUACAAAACUCCCAGACAUAUAAUUAUGGAGAAGAAGCCAUGGAGUUUUAUGUACCUGUUUAAGAUGAUUGGUAGUGGUAGUGGCAGCGGCAGUGGCUUAUGGCGGAUGCGGUGGAAAGGGAAGUUCACGUUGCAUCUUUGGUUUAUUAAUGAUUUUCUUUUCAAAAUUGUGUCGGUUUUCGAAGCCAUAUUUCUGGUUUCAACUCUCUGUUUCUUUUUCCUAUGUUGCGGCUGCCAUUUCUGAUUAUGAUUUUAACUAUAAUCAUUCGGAUGAAGCCAUGAAUGAAUUUUCAAGGAGAGACUAUGUUCAGUAUGAUUGGGUAAUGAAUGUUUUUGGGUUGUAAUCUCUGAAAUUAUCUUUGUCAUCGAACUUUUGUUUAUGUUCAAAUGUUCAAUGAUAUAGAAAACCUAAUAUUAGCUUAUUACAGUUCUGGAGAUUAUAGUGAUUCUUCUUCUUUUGCUGUAACCCUCGUCUAAAGCACUUUUUGAAACCAGUUGAGACAGGUGAAUUUGUCCACUUACUUGAUCAAACUCGUCCUCAAGCCAAACUAGCAAACUUAACUGUAAUGACUUGAGAAGAAAUAUUAAACGGUAUGUGGCAUGUUUGGCACAGUUUAUUUAAAAUUAAUUUUAUUUGAAC